AUUGAACGCUGGCGGCAGGCCUAACACAUGCAAGUCGAACGGUAACAGGAAACAGCUUGCUGUUUCGCUGACGAGUGGCGGACGGGUGAGUAAUGUCUGGGAAACUGCCUGAUGGAGGGGGAUAACUACUGGAAACGGUAGCUAAUACCGCAUAACGUUGCAAGACCAAAGAGGGGGACCCUCGGGCCUCUUGCCAUCGGAUGUGCCCAGAUGGGAUUAGCUUGUUGGUGGGGUACCGGCUCACCAAGGCGACGAUCCCUAGCUGGUCUGAGAGGAUGACCAGCCACACUGGAACGGAGGCACGGUCCAGACUCCUACGGGAGGCAGCAGUGGGGAAUAUUGCACAAUGGGCGCAAGCCUGAUGCAGCCAUGCCGCGUGUAUGAAGAAGGCCUUCGGGUUGUAAAGUACUUUCAGCGGGGAGGAAGGGAGUAAAGUUAAUACCUUUGCUCAUUGACGUUACCCGCAGAAGAAGCACCGGCUAACUACGUG
This 490-nucleotide ribosomal RNA is filed under the name uncultured bacterium. Its description in RNAcentral is "partial 16S ribosomal RNA". It matches the Rfam family "Bacterial small subunit ribosomal RNA", at positions 30 to 507 of the family's 1533-position model. The record is from RNAcentral.